This is a long non-coding RNA of Oryzias latipes (Japanese medaka), 618 nucleotides long. RefSeq lists it as uncharacterized. The record is from RefSeq and is a predicted model, not a curated record. Lineage: Eukaryota; Metazoa; Chordata; Actinopteri; Beloniformes; Adrianichthyidae.
CUGGCUGCGGUUUCUCCUCUUUUCCUGAUUUCCCAGCGGCUCUUGCGCGAGUCCGCCCCUCCCGCCGCCUUUAGCCUGCCUCGCGGAGACCAAAGCUGCUCCCGUUAAAGCGCAGUCAUACAAGCCCCGCCCCCUGUCUGCCCAAUAGGGAGUGUUCCCUUCCGGAAGUAAGCGCGCAUGCCUUGUUCUGAUUGGACGAGAGGCACUCCUCUAAUUCCUGUGACGUCGACAGCUGCAUUCUUUUAGGGAUAACCCCUAAAUUAUUGAUUUGGUUACGUUAAUUAUGAUAAGACAUUUUUAUCUCAAUUUUAUUUAAUAAAUCUUCUCAUUUUAUUAACCAAGUAUUAUAUUCAAAAAUCUAAAUUCAGCAAUAAAGCUCCUAAUUUUCUUGAUUUUCUUGCCCAAGUUAGAUGUUACUUACAUUCCAUUUCCCCCAGUACAAACAAAAAAUCUAUUAAAACGUAUCACCUUGCUCAACUGUAUAAUUUAAUAUAAGUUUAUUUUUUUGCCUGUAUAUCCCCUGGCGUUUAUUUUGAACGUUUGAUGUACAGUUUACUGUUCCUUGUUCUUUUGCUGUAUGUCACUUUUGUUCUGCAUCAAUAAAAAAAAAAAAAACCC